Long non-coding RNA from Populus nigra (black poplar), 988 nucleotides. RefSeq lists it as uncharacterized. The record is from RefSeq and is a predicted model, not a curated record. NCBI's taxonomy places the organism in Eukaryota, Viridiplantae, Streptophyta, Magnoliopsida, Malpighiales, Salicaceae. The transcript is spliced from 2 exons.
UUCUCAAUUCUUACACACACUAACUUGACCUCCAACCUUGUUUUUAUAAAAGAAAAGGAAAGGAAAAAAAAAAUAGUGAAGGAGCUGGGUUUUGUUUUAGUAGAGUAGGUCAUAGUUAAGAAAUAGCGUCUUCAUCAAUGUACCUCUACUUUAUGCUUUUAUGUUGCUAUGAAAAUAAUGUUUUUAUUACAAGGUCUUCGUCAAAUUUCCCUUAAAUCGAUCAUAUUAUUUUAUAAUAAAGUCGUUCUACCUAUCACUUUUAUUUACCAACUUGUUCCCUUAAUUUUUCACUAUAAAUACCUUGUUGCUUCAGACUAUAUUCAUCACCAUCGAUUUGCCUCCCUUUCUUGAUUACCUCAACCUCCUGACAUCGCUAAGAUACCAUGGCUCGCUUCCAAGUGAUCGCCGUGGCAAUUUUUAUAACUAUCAUGCUCCUCCUGUCCACUGGGAUGUCCACCGCAGUACCGAAACCUAUACAAGGAAGGAAGCUCUUCCAGUAUAAUUUUAACGCUGGUGCGUAUCCGACGAUGAACAUCCCCGAUACACUCGGUACACCCAGUGGACAUCCUUAGUUAAUUAGCAGAUAUAGCUGGUUAAGAAAUAAGGUCUUCAUCAAUGGAGCUCUACUUUAUGCUUUUAUAUUACUAUGGAAAUAUUGUUUUUAUUACAAGGAGAGAAACGAAUGCAGUGGCAGACAGUUUAGCAAGGCAGGCUGUUCAUCAAAACAGGGACUACGUCGCUUGUCUUGGAUGGCUUUUUAUUUUAGGAAAGCUCUGUUUUUCGAUCUCUUCUCCUUCAUAGUUUUCUGUAACCAUCACCCUGUUGAUAGAGAACUAAUAUAAUCAAAACAAUUUAGGAGCACGUUCUUUUAUCUCGGUGCAGAUUUAAGGUUUUUAUUAUACGGUAUUAGAGUUUGAAUGAGAUGAUAAGUUUGAGUGUUACUACUUGUACUUCGAGAUAAUAAUAUAAGCAUGUGAUUGUUUGUUUA